AACGAACGCUGGCGGCGGGCCUCAUACAUGCAAGUCGAGCGCGAAAGUCCGCAAGGAUGAGUAAAGCGGCGCACGGGUGAGAAACGCGUGGGUAAUCUACCCUUUGGAUUGGAAUAACCUGUCGAAAGACGGGCUAAUGCCAAGUAAGCUCCCUCGAUCAUAAAGUUCGAGUGAGGAAAGGUGGCGCAAGCUACCGCCGAAGGAUGAGCCUGCGUCCCAUUAGCUAGUUGGUAAGGUAAUGGCUUACCAAGGCAACGAUGGGUAGCUGGUCUGAGAGGAUGAUCAGCCACACUGGAACUGAAACACGGUCCAGACUCCUACGGGAGGCAGCAGUAGGGAAUAUUGCGCAAUGGGCGAAAGCCUGACGCAGCCACGCCGCGUGAGUGAAGAAGGCCUUC
This 398-nucleotide ribosomal RNA is filed under the name uncultured bacterium. RNAcentral's name for it is "bacterial SSU rRNA". It matches the Rfam family "Bacterial small subunit ribosomal RNA", at positions 29 to 419 of the family's 1533-position model. The record is from RNAcentral.